UUAGUGGCGGACGGGUGAGUAACGCGUGGAAAACCUGCCGUAUACUGGGGGAUAACACUUAGAAAUAGGUGCUAAUACCGCAUAAGCGCGCAGCUUCGCAUGAAGCGGUGUGAAAAACUCUGGUGGUAUACGAUGGUUCCGCGUCUGAUUAGCUAGUUGGUGGGGUAAUGGCCUACCAAGGCAACGAUCAGUAGCCGGCCUGAGAGGGUGAACGGCCACAUUGGGACUGAGACACGGCCCAAACUCCUACGGGAGGCAGCAG
Molecule: ribosomal RNA, 262 nt
Filed under: uncultured bacterium
Lineage: Bacteria
Description: partial 16S ribosomal RNA
Rfam family: Bacterial small subunit ribosomal RNA
Source: RNAcentral